CGCGGCCUAUCAGCUUGUUGGUGAGGUAAUGGCUCACCAAGGCGACGACGGGUAGCCGGCCUGAGAGGGCGACCGGCCACACUGGGACUGAGACACGGCCCAGACUCCUACGGGAGGCGGCAGUGGGGAAUAUUGCACAAUGGGCGAAAGCCUGAUGCAGCGACGCCGCGUGAGGGAUGACGGCCUUCGGGUUGUAAACCUCUUUCAGCAGGGAAGAAGCGAAAGUGACGGUACCUGCAGAAGAAGCGCCGGCUAACUACGUGCCAGCAGCCGCGGUAAUACGUAGGGCGCAAGCGUUGUCCGGAAUUAUUGGGCGUAAAGAGCUCGUAGGCGGCUUGUCGCGUCGACUGUGAAAACCCGCGGCUCAACUGCGGGCUUGCAGCCGAUACGGGCAGGCUAGAGUUCGGUAGGGGAGACUGGAAUUCCUGGUGUAGCGGUGAAAUGCGCAGAUAUCAGGAGGAACACCGGUGGCGAAGGCGGGUCUCUGGGCCGAUACUGACGCUGAGGAGCGAAAGCGUGGGGAGCGAACAGGAUUAGAUACCCUGGUAGUCCACGCUGUAAACGUUGGGCGCUAGGUGUGGGGGACCUCUCCGGUUCUCUGUGCCGCAGCUAACGCAUUAAGCGCCCCGCC
This 631-nucleotide ribosomal RNA is filed under the name uncultured bacterium. Its description in RNAcentral is "bacterial SSU rRNA". It matches the Rfam family "Bacterial small subunit ribosomal RNA", at positions 232 to 873 of the family's 1533-position model. The record is from RNAcentral.